AGGGCACAGGGCGGAUGCCUUGGCACUAAGAGCCGAUGAAAGACGUGAUAAGCUGCGAUAAGCUUCGGGGAGGAGCAAAUAUCCCGUGAUCCGGAGAUGUCUGAAUGGGGAAACCCACAUGAGCAAACCUCAUGUAUCCUACAGCCAAUACAUAACUGUAGGAAGGGAACCCGGGGAACUGAAACAUCUAAGUACCCGGAGGAAAAGAAAGAAAACUCGAUUCCGUAAGUAGCGGCGAGCGAACGCGGAGGAGCCUAAACCAGAGUGCGUGCAUUCUGGGGUUACGGACUGCAUUUAAGAUUCAGUGAUGUUAACAGAACGGUUUUGGGAAAGCCGGCCACAGAGGGUGAAAGCCCCGUACGUGAAAACAGAGCUGACUGAGCAGGAUCCAGAGUACCACGAGACACGUGGAACCUUGUGGGAAAUCAGGGGGACCACCCCCUAAGGCUAAAUACUACUUAGUGACCGAUAGCGCAUAGUACUGUGAAGGAAAGGUGAAAAGGACCCCGGGAGGGGAGUGAAAGAGAACCUGAAACCCUGUGUCUACAAGCUGUGGAAGCACUUUAUAUGUGCGACCGCGUACUUUUUGUAGAACGGUCCGGCGAGUUACGCUUACUGGCAAGGUUAAGCACUUCAGGUGCGGAGCCGUAGGGAAACCAAGUCUUAAGAGGGCCAGAGUCAGUAGGAGUAGACCCGAAACCGGGUGAUCUAUCCAUGUCCAGGUUGAAGUUGCCGUAAAAGGCAAUGGAGGACCGAACCCACAUCCGUUGAAAAGGGUGGGGAUGAGGUGUGGAUAGGGGAGAAAUUCCAAUCGAACCCGGAGAUAGCUGGUUCUCCUCGAAAUAGCUUUAGGGCUAGCCUCGAUUUAGUCUUAUGGAGGUAGAGCACUGAAUUUCCGCGGGGGCGUCAAAGCUUACCAAAGAAUAUCAAACUCCGAAUGCCAUUAAGAUGAUGAACGGGAGUCAGACUGUACGAGAUAAGUUGGACAGUCAAAAGGGAAAGAGCCCAGACCACCAGCUAAGGUCCCAAAGUGUGUGUUAAGUGGAAAAGGAUGUGGGGAUUCAAAGACAACUAGGAUGUUGGCUCAGAAGCAGCCAUUCAUUCAAAGAGUGCGUAACAGCUCACUAGUCGAGAGUCCCUGCGCCGAAAAUGUCCGGGGCUGAAACACAACACCGAAGCUGUGGAAUCAUACCUAGUAUGAUUGGUAGAGGAGCAUUCUUAAGACCGACGAAGCUGUACCGAUAAGGAGCAGUGGAGGGAUAAGAAGAGAGAAUGCCGGAAUGAGUAGCGAGAGGAAGGUGAGAAUCCUUCCGGCCGAAUAUCCAAGGAUUCCAGGGUAAAGCUGAUCUGCCCUGGGUAAGUCGGGACCUAAGGAGAGGCCGAGAGGCGUAUCCGAUGGACAACAGGUUUAGAUUCCUGUACCACAUAUGGUCAGAACUGUGGGGACGCAGAAGGAAAGCAUGAGCCAGGAAUGGAAAGACUGGUACAAGCAGAGGGGAUGGUGUGCUGGCAAAUCCGCACACGAAAGUCCUUGCUGUGAUGUGGAGCGAACUAAAGUAGCGAAGCAUGCGGACCGGCUGCCGAGAAAAGCCGCUAUUGUGCCAUAUGUGCCCGUACCGUAAACCGACACAGGUGGAUGAGGAGAGAAUCCUAAGGCCGACGGAAGAAGUAUUGUUAAGGAACUCGGCAAAAUGACCCCGUAACUUCGGGAGAAGGGGUGCCUGAGAAAUCAGGCCGCAGAGAAUAGGCUCAAGCAACUGUUUAGCAAAAACACAGGUCUAUGCGAAACCGAAAGGUGAGGUAUAUGGGCUGACGCCUGCCCGGUGCUGGAAGGUUAAGAGGAGAGGUUAGCGCAAGCGAAGCUUUGAAUUUAAGCCCCAGUAAACGGCGGCCGUAACUAUAACGGUCCUAAGGUAGCGAAAUUCCUUGUCGGGUAAGUUCCGACCCGCACGAAAGGCGUAAUGAUUUGAGCGCUGUCUCGACAAUGCAUCCGGUGAAAUUGAAGUACCAGUGAAGAUGCUGGUUACCCGCGCCAGGACGGAAAGACCCCAUGGAGCUUUACUCCAGUUUGGUACUGGGAUUCGGUACUGCAUGUACAGGAUAGGUGGGAGACUAUGAACUAGGGACGCCAGUUUCUAGGGAGUCACUGUUGGGAUACCACCCUUGUAGUAUUGGAUUUCUAACCAUCAGCGCGAUUAGCAGCCGUGAUUGCUGCAAAAUUUGGCGGACGACGAUGCAAAGAAAAGCGGAUGGUCACGCAAUCCACAAGCAAACCCUCAUGACUUUUCACAACCGCAAGAGCCUACAGUGGGCGAAGAAAUCAUCAAGAGUAUGGACAGAAUUACAGCAUGGUAUCGAGUUUAAUAAUACUGAACUUUUUUCCGAAAUUUGAUGGUUUUUUACAAACGUGAUUUCGGUCAACUUGCUAAUUUUGGCGAACGAUCCGGGAAAAUGUCCCACCGCCAAAAUUAGCUCUGCUAAUUUCCUGCUAAUCGCACUAGGGUAAAAGAGGGGUUUUUU
This 2520-nucleotide ribosomal RNA is filed under the name human gut metagenome. RNAcentral describes it as "bacterial LSU rRNA". It matches the Rfam family "Bacterial large subunit ribosomal RNA", at positions 14 to 2374 of the family's 2925-position model. The record is from RNAcentral.